AACGCACCUUGCGCUCUUUGGUAUUCCGAAGAGCAUGCCUGUUUGAGUGUCAUGAAAAUAUCAACCUUGACUUGGGUUUUGUGCUCUAUUCUCGGCUUGGAAUUGGGUGCUUGCCGCUUUUACGAGCGGCUCACCUUAAAUGUAUUAGCUGGAUCUGUCUUUGAGACUUGGUUUGACUUGGCGUAAUAAGUAUUUCGCUAAGGACAUUCUUCGGAGUGGCCUCGUUUCUAGGACGCUUGUCCGCUUUCCAAUACAAGUUCCACCUUGUGGACAUGACUUUUUAUUAUCUGGCCUCAAAUCAGGUAGGACUACCCGCUGAACUUAA
RNAcentral lists this unclassified non-coding RNA (325 nucleotides) under uncultured Solicoccozyma. RNAcentral's name for it is "sequence contains ITS2". The stretch from base 1 to 52 matches the Rfam family "5.8S ribosomal RNA", at positions 103 to 154 of the family's 154-position model. Lineage: Eukaryota; Fungi; Basidiomycota; Tremellomycetes; Filobasidiales; Piskurozymaceae. The record is from RNAcentral.